Molecule: ribosomal RNA, 254 nt
Filed under: uncultured bacterium
Lineage: Bacteria
Description: partial 16S ribosomal RNA
Rfam family: Bacterial small subunit ribosomal RNA
Source: RNAcentral
UACGUAGGGGCCUAGCGUUGUCCGGAUUCAUUGGGCGUAAAGAGCUCGUAGGCGGCUUGGUAAGUCGGAUGUGAAACCUCCAGGCUCAACCUGGAGUCGCCAUCCGAUACUGCCAUGGCUAGAGUCCGGUAGGGGCCCACGGAAUUCCUGGUGUAGCGGUGAAAUGCGCAGAUAUCGGGAAGAACACCCGUGGCGAAGGCGGCUCUCUGGGACGGUACUGACGCUGAGACGCGAAAGCGUGGGGAGCGAACAGG